UGCAAGUCGAACGGUGAAGCCAAGCUUGCUUGGUGGAUCAGAUGGCGAACGGGUGAGUAACACGUGAGCAACCUGCCCUGAACUCUGGGAUAAGCGCUGGAAACGGCGUCUAAUACUGGAUAUGAGCUGCGGAGGCAUCUUCGUGGUUGGAAAGAUUUUUCGGUUUGGGAUGGGCUCGCGGCCUAUCAGCUUGUUGGUGAGGUAAUGGCUCACCAAGGCGUCGACGGGUAGCCGGCCUGAGAGGGUGACCGGCCACACUGGGACUGAGACACGGCCCAGACUCCUACGGGAGGCAGCAGUGGGGAAUAUUGCACAAUGGGCGGAAGCCUGAUGCAGCAACGCCGCGUGAGGGAUGACGGCCUUCGGGUUGUAAACCUCUUUUAGCAGGGAAGAAGCGAAAGUGACGGUACCUGCAGAAAAAGCGCCGGCUAACUACGUGCCAGCAGCCGC
This 450-nucleotide ribosomal RNA is filed under the name bacterium EAB-M9.02. RNAcentral's name for it is "bacterial SSU rRNA". It matches the Rfam family "Bacterial small subunit ribosomal RNA", at positions 56 to 518 of the family's 1533-position model. The record is from RNAcentral.